Molecule: long non-coding RNA, 645 nt
Organism: Oncorhynchus kisutch (coho salmon)
Lineage: Eukaryota; Metazoa; Chordata; Actinopteri; Salmoniformes; Salmonidae
Exons: 3
Source: RefSeq, a predicted model, not a curated record
AGACAGAGAGUGCUAAGAGCAGUGGAGACUGUCUCCCUCAACAGGACUUCCCAGAGGUCAACGGUCCAUUCAAGCGGCAUAAUUCCGGCAUCGUCCGCGGCAACUGUCCCUAUGACGAUGUAGCCUGUGAGCCCAAGAGGUCAACCAGCACAGACCAUGUAGCAGGUCUCGUGUUGAGCUCCUCUCUGAAUGAGGUAGGUGUGGUUGAGACCAACAGUCUGAGGAGGAGACAUCUCACUGCCCUUGAGGAGGGAGGUGGCAGUAGGAGUAGUGUUGGAGGAGGAGUAGGAGGCCAUGACUGGCAGGGUGUGCGAGGGUGCAGACUGAGUGGAGACAACAGGGUUGUCAGUGGUAGCAGUGGCACGCCAGUGUUGGGUCUGGGGCUGCACCAGGGAGAGACUGACCCAGCCAGGAUAGCAGAGAACCUGGGGGCAGACACCAAGAUCCUCCUGGGGACCAGCUUCAGCCAGACCAACAGGCCGCGGACGUUAGUCCUGGGAGGGUCAGAGGGGGUAGGAGCAGCCGGGGGAAGAACCAGGUGAACAUCAUUGAUGUGGAACGUUACUGACCCGCUGACAUCUUGUGAAAGAGAUUUGAUCUCAGUGAGAGUAACCUGUAUUAAGAAAGGCAGAGUAACCUGUAUUA